RNAcentral lists this ribosomal RNA (524 nucleotides) under Staphylococcus chromogenes. RNAcentral's name for it is "bacterial SSU rRNA". It matches the Rfam family "Bacterial small subunit ribosomal RNA", at positions 1 to 508 of the family's 1533-position model. The record is from RNAcentral. Lineage: Bacteria; Bacillati; Bacillota; Bacilli; Caryophanales; Staphylococcaceae.
UANAGUUUGAUCCUGGCUCAGGAUNAACGCUGGCGGCGUGCCUAAUACAUGCAAGUCGAGCGAACUGACGAGGAGCUUGCUCCUUUGACGUUAGCGGCGGACGGGUGAGUAACACGUGGGUAACCUACCUAUAAGACUGGAAUAACUCCGGGAAACCGGGGCUAAUGCCGGAUAACAUAUCGAACCGCAUGGUUCGAUAGUGAAAGACGGUCUUGCUGUCACUUAUAGAUGGACCCGCGCCGUAUUAGCUAGUUGGUGAGGUAACGGCUCACCAAGGCAACGAUACGUAGCCGACCUGAGAGGGUGAUCGGCCACACUGGAACUGAGACACGGUCCAGACUCCUACGGGAGGCAGCAGUAGGGAAUCUUCCGCAAUGGGCGAAAGCCUGACGGAGCAACGCCGCGUGAGUGAUGAAGGUACUUCGGAUCGUAAAGCUACUGUUGUUAGGGAAGAACAAAUGUGUAAGUAUACUAUGCACUCCUUGUACGGUACCUAACCAGAAAGGCCACGGCCUAACANACGU